This 63-nucleotide small RNA is filed under the name Sinorhizobium meliloti 2011. Its description in RNAcentral is "putative ncRNA". Lineage: Bacteria; Pseudomonadati; Pseudomonadota; Alphaproteobacteria; Hyphomicrobiales; Rhizobiaceae. The record is from RNAcentral.
GUCUUACAGCGACUUGCGUCUUAUCGGAGGCACAAAGGUUGCUGCAGCAGGCGCCCAUCGUCU